ACUCGUUGGACCCGGGGGCGGUACCCGGCGCCUCCACCAAAAUAUAAUGAAAAAAUUAUAUUUUGGUGGGGGCGAAAUAGGAUCGACAAGAGCGUAAAGAUUGCUCUUUUACUCGGCAUAGUACCACCGUUAUCGGACUAAAUGAGUAGUUGCAAAUGACAACUAUGCGGAAGCACGUCUCGCUGCUUAAUGCAGUGCGAAUGUUUCAAUUUAAGUCUUAAACCGUCGCAGGUUUAAGCGGGGUUCGGAGG
Molecule: transfer-messenger RNA, 251 nt
Filed under: Bartonella vinsonii subsp. vinsonii
Lineage: Bacteria; Pseudomonadati; Pseudomonadota; Alphaproteobacteria; Hyphomicrobiales; Bartonellaceae
Description: partial ssrA
Rfam family: Alphaproteobacteria transfer-messenger RNA
About the family: Bacterial tmRNA, also known as 10Sa RNA or SsrA, is named for its dual tRNA and mRNA-like properties.
Source: RNAcentral